This is a long non-coding RNA of Helianthus annuus (common sunflower), 373 nucleotides long. RefSeq lists it as uncharacterized. The transcript has 3 exons. Lineage: Eukaryota; Viridiplantae; Streptophyta; Magnoliopsida; Asterales; Asteraceae. The record is from RefSeq and is a predicted model, not a curated record.
UCUUCUCUAAACCCUAUGUUCUACAAUUUAUGUAAGUGACUUAGCUACUGCUAUGGUUGGUCCACGGACAUGGAUUUGAGGAAUCUUUAGCUGCACAGGCCCAAGCAUUCUGGAAGCAUCAAAUACGAUUCUAGGCUCACUUCAGUUGAGGAAGAAAGAUAUCAGAGGCUUCAUGAACGUGCGGAUGUACCUUUUGAUGAGACUCGUGCAUAUCAUCAGAAAGCCCUUGCAUAACUGUGGAAUUUAGCACAUCCAGAAGUUACACUUAAAGAAUUGAUCUCUGAGCAGUGGAUGGAAAUGGGUUGGCAAGGAGUUAACCUGUCUCUCGACUUUAGGUAUAAUGUACAGUCCAUUGGAGAAGAUGAUCGUAGAA